Molecule: long non-coding RNA, 772 nt
Filed under: Aquilegia coerulea
Lineage: Eukaryota; Viridiplantae; Streptophyta; Magnoliopsida; Ranunculales; Ranunculaceae
Description: long non-coding RNA (ACOE_LNC001024)
Source: RNAcentral
UACUUGGUAUCAAUGCAAAUCCAAAACCCACCACAACCCAAACCAUUAGAAAGAAUCCUAACCCAACACUACCACUAAUCUACAGAAUCCUCCAAUAAUAAAAGACCCCAAAAAACAAACAAAUUAAUGAGAAAUCCCUUUUGGGAUUUUCUUUUCCAUCAUAAGAUGGGUUAGAAUGUUAGAUUUGGUCCAACAAUUUCGGGGUUCAUGUAUUGAUGUGUUUCCGACAGCUAAAUAUCAUCCUAACAAGAUCUUGAUCACAAUCUGUUCUCCAUCCCGCCUUUUACAACGUUCCCUUUCUCUGCUUUUAACUCAAUGAUGUCACAACCUACUGAUUCUGCUGCUUUAUUCAAUUUUUUGGGAUGUUGUUCUCUUAUUCUCCAGUAAUCGGUCUGAUUAUUAUUAUUGUGAUGAUUUUCUACUCUUAGUUCUACUGCCUCAGACUGCCAGUUGCUUAUUUCACUAGUAUUAUUUGAUCUGUGGUGCUCUUAAUUACUGGUUUUUAUGAUGGAUAAUUUGGGAGAGUCACCUAUUCAAGGCACUCACAUAGCCACCACGCAUCAGUCAAUCACUUCUGAGAGAUUAAAUGGCACUAAUUUCAAGACUUGGUCUAGGUCGGUUGUUUAUGACUUGACUAGUAGAGGUGUUGAGGCUUUAAUUGAUGGAAGUCAUGUUGAGGCUAUUAUUGUUUUUUUUGGUUGGCAAGUGAGGUUGUAGAGACCCCUACCUCUUUUAAAUUAUGUGUGGAAACUUAUAUCAACAAUCUGCUGUU